RNAcentral lists this ribosomal RNA (700 nucleotides) under uncultured bacterium. RNAcentral's name for it is "bacterial SSU rRNA". It matches the Rfam family "Bacterial small subunit ribosomal RNA", at positions 53 to 753 of the family's 1533-position model. The record is from RNAcentral.
ACCGUGCAGUCGAGCGAGAAAGUCCUUCGGGAUGAGUACAGCGGCGAACGGGUGAGUAAUAUAUAAGAAUCUGCCUUUUAGUGAAGAAUACCUUUGGGAAACCAAAGUUAAUGCUGCAUAAGUCCCUUCGGGGAGAAAGAUGGCCUCUUUGCUGUCGCUAAAAGAUGAGCUUAUAUUCUAUUAGUUAGUUGGUGGGGUAAAGGCCUACCAAGACUAUGAUGGAUAACCGGCCUGAGAGGGUGUACGGUCACAUUGGAACUUAGAUACGGUCCAGACUCCUACGGGAGGCAGCAGUGAGGAAUAUUGCACAAUGGGCGAAAGCCUGAUGCAGCGACGCCGCGUGGAGGAUGAAGGUUUUCGGAUUGUAAACUCCUGUUAAGUGGGAAAAAAGACCUGCCAUGAAUAAGGGCGGGUGAUGAUGGUACCGCUAAAGAAAGCACCGGCUAACUUCGUGCCAGCAGCCGCGGUAAUACGAGGGGUGCAAACGUUAUUCGGAAUUAUUGGGCGUAAAGGGUGCGUAGACGGCGCUUCAAGUCAAUUAUUAAAUCUUUUGGCCUAACCAAAAGCUUGUGGUUGAGACUGUUGUGCUAGAGGAUGGAAGAGAGAAGUGGAAUUCUCGGAGUAGCGGUAAAAUGCGUAGAUCUCGAGAGGAACACCGAUGGCGAAGGCAGCUUCUUGGUCCAUUUCUGACGUUGAAGUA